This 2184-nucleotide long non-coding RNA is filed under the name Oryzias javanicus (javanese ricefish). RNAcentral describes it as "lncRNA (ENSOJAG00000003929.1)". The record is from RNAcentral. Lineage: Eukaryota; Metazoa; Chordata; Actinopteri; Beloniformes; Adrianichthyidae.
CGUGUUUGAGGGUCAAACAGCGGAGGAGGGACGGCCCCCAGGACCUCAGGAGCGCCCCCGGACACGGGUCACCCCAGUGUUCAGCCAAACCUUCCCUGUGUUCGGAUGAAGACUGGGGUUCCAAAUGUCCGUCCGGCUGCAGACUGCAGGGUUUGAUGUCUCAAUUGGAAAUGGACGUGGACAGGAAACUGCAGAGAGUUUGUGAAACGGCGAAGGCGUUGGAGGAGGCAGCUGAGAAGUCCAUGACGAGAAUGACGCAGGUCUACAACGCCCACCGCAGAGUCAUCGUCAGCAGAUACAUGUCUGAGCAGAAGUUUGCCGUUCGUGCCGACGUCCUGGCGGAGAAAAUGACGUCACUUCGGGAGAAAUCAAAGGUUCUGGAUGUAAAAAUAAAGGAGUUGAGAAGCAAGGUGAAGAAACAGGUGGAGGAGCUGUACCGAACGGAGGUGGACGUUGACAUGAUGUUGCGGGCGUGCGGUGGUUCCUGUACGUCCAGAACUCCGUUCGGCGUCGAUCAUCACAGCUACCUUCGCAGUGAGUCCACGUUGGAGGUUCUCCACCAGAGGAGCAGAACUCCUCCUCCACCCAGAGCUGUGAAGCAGAUCAAACUACAACCUCUAGAGAAAAGCCUGAAACCAUCCACGGACUACAAGUCCAUCCCGACGGUCCGGAAAGAAGCGCUGACCCAGUUUGAAGACGUCGACCUGAACCGGUUCUCUUUGGGGGAGGAGUCCGAGGGAUCCAACGAGGUGGAAUGAAGAUCUUAGGACGGGUUUAGAAGUCUGUGAACCACCAGAGCAGAUACUUUGUCUGCUGGUCCUUAAAAAAUGUCAUAUUAUUUAUGGAGCCACAACGUUUCAUUGACGCGAGGACUCUGGAGGUUCAUGUUCCUCCACGCUUUUAGGAGACUUCAGAAGCAACUGUUACAAACCAAAUUAAAAUGAUGUUCACAUCACCCUCAGAAAUGCGAGUUCAACACUUUUAACGACAAAUCUGGUUCAAUUUGGGUUUCUCUGUUCAAAUCUCUUGACGCCAUUGGACUUAAAUUGAAAGGUAGGGACUCCGAUUGAGAUUGACGCAUACGCAGCAUCUUUUUCAACUAACAAAACUACCAAUUAUUGUUUUUUCAUGGCCAAAACGCUGACAUCAAAUCUUUCUUGUAUCGGAGCAGAUCUGUAAAACAAACAGCCUGGAUUAAGAUACACUAGAUAAGUCUCCUCAGACUGUAGGUGGUUAGAAUCCCACACGCAAUCAGUCACGACGGUCCAGUGUGAAGACUAAAAGCACCUUCAAGAAUGAGCGUUUAGGGGAUUCUUGAACUUACGCACAUAACCAGUAUGAAUGUAGCUCAACAUUUUUAUUUUUAUCUAUAUUUAGGUAAGUUAACUGUUCUGAGCUGAGAUUUCUGCUCAUUUCUUAUGUUUAUUUAUGGUUUUUGUUGCUUAACCUUUUACCCUGCAGAUGUUGAUGUCAACAACAACAUAACACUCGAUCUUUGAACUAACAGAACUCUUAAACCGUUUCCGCGAUCACUUUAAUUCCAAUGGAUUCUGACAUAUGAGCUGCUAUUAUCUCCAGAAUACACUGGAAUUAGUUAAAAGAGUUAUUGUAGCUGAAUGAACAUCAACAUGAAAACUAAACUAUAUUCAUAUAAAUGAUCAAAUAUUAACUUUUGCACAAAAGAACUAAUAAUUUAUAAACUAGGAGUUAUUUUCGUGGGUGUUCUCCUACCCAGAAUUAAGAAGAUCUCUGAAGCUCUGCCUGUUGCUCCGCCCAUUUCAUGACGUCAUCCUUGAGUCGACCUCGGCAGCCUUUCUGCGUUUCUCCCACAAAAACGGAAAACUUUUGUAAAGACAGACGCAUGUCCCGCAGAUUUGCCUUUAGUAGCUCCAAUACACUCGUCCAAACCCGCUCCCUCUCCCGUCCUGUGUGCAGUCAGGUGAGUUCAUAGCUGCAGUCCCAGAUUAAAGCGUGAGGGUGCACCUCUCAACCCUCCCAUUGUACUCAUGUACAGUGUUUCUGUGUUCGUUGAACUGUUUGUGUGUGUUUCUGGUGGAAUGACACCAGUUUUGUUUGCCACAUGUCAACUGUUUCAGAUCUAAUGUGACAAAUUCUGUACAAAUAAAUUACAUCCGUUUUUCAUUAAAUGCAUUUUGAAUCAAUUGCUCAACACCAUUUUAUUUA